This is a non-coding RNA of Zootermopsis nevadensis, 5009 nucleotides long. Lineage: Eukaryota; Metazoa; Arthropoda; Insecta; Blattodea; Termopsidae. The record is from RefSeq and is a predicted model, not a curated record.
GUUUUAUAUUUGUAGGUUUGGGGCAGUAACAUGUCAAAAGCUUCAGAACCUAGAAUUAAAGACAACAUAGGAGAAGAUUUCACAAAAAUUUCCUUCUCACCAGACUUAUCAAAGUUUAAAAUGGAGACGUUGGAUAAAGAUAUUAUAGCUCUGAUGUCCAGAAGAGCGUAUGAUGUGGCAGCUUCGUCACGUGGAGUGAAGGUGUACCUCAACGGAAAGAGACUUCCAGUGAAGUCCUUCAAGGAGUAUGUAGAACUGUACCUGAAGGGGAAGGAAGAUGAAAUGGGAAACCAACUGAAAUGCUCAUAUGAAAGUGUAAAUCCAAGAUGGGAGGUUGCAGUGGCCUUAUCGGACAGAGGAUUUCAGCAGGUGUCUUUUGUGAACAGUAUUGCUACCACAAAGGGUGGACGUCAUGUGGAUCAUGUUACUGAUGUUAUAGUCAAACAGCUUAUAGAAACCUUGAAGAAGAAGAAUAAGGGUGGCCUACAAAUUAAACCACACCAAGUGAAGAAUCAUCUUUGGGUGUUUGUUAAUUGUUUGAUUGUGAAUCCUACAUUUGAUUCGCAGACUAAAGAACAUAUGACUCUUCAAGCAAAGAGCUUUGGUUCAAAAUGUAGUCUGUCGGACAAAUUCAUUACCAGUGUUACCAAAUGUGGAAUUGUGGAAGCUGUGUUGACAUGGGCAAAAUUAAAAGCAGCAACUCAGCUUCAGAAGCAGUGCAGUGGCAAGAAGCAGAACAAAUUGAAAGGAGUUCCAAAGUUGGAAGAUGCAAAUGAUGCAGGCACUAGGAAUUCAUUGGACUGUACAUUAAUCCUCACUGAAGGAGACUCAGCCAAAACGCUGGCUGUGUCUGGUCUUGGUGUAGUUGGGAGAGACAAAUAUGGAGUGUUCCCACUUCGUGGUAAAUUGUUGAAUGUUAGGGAGGCAUCACACAAGCAGAUUGUAGAUAAUCAGGAGAUUAAUAAUGUUGUGAAGAUCCUCGGUCUACAAUACAAAAAGAAAUACGAAUGCUUAGAUGAUCUGAAAACCCUGAGAUAUGGAAAGCUUAUGAUAAUGACAGAUCAGGAUCAGGAUGGAUCUCAUAUAAAAGGUCUUCUGAUCAACUUUAUCCAUCACAACUGGCCAUCCCUCUUGAAAUUGCCAUUCCUUGAGGAAUUUAUUACUCCUAUUGUGAAAGCAACAAAAGGCUCAGAAGAGUUCUCAUUUUACUCACUACCAGAAUUUGAAGAGUGGAAGACAUCCAAGGAUAACUGGCAUACGUACAAGAUAAAGUACUACAAAGGUUUGGGAACCUCUACCUCUAAAGAGGCAAAAGAAUAUUUUUCUGAUAUGGUGAGACAUCGAAUUAAGUUUAAGUACAGUGGCCCACAAGAUGAUCAUUGCAUCAACAUGGCCUUCAGUAAGAAAUGUGCAGAACAACGUAAAGAAUGGUUGACAAGUUGGAUGGAAGACACAAAGCGUAGACGAGAACUAGGUCUUGCAGAACAGUACUUGUAUGAAAAGGAUACAAAAUCAGUUAACUAUGCAGACUUUGUUAACAAAGAGUUGGUACUCUUCAGCAAUUGUGACAAUGAACGUUCCAUACCCAGUAUGGUAGAUGGUCUGAAACCAGGGCAAAGAAAGGUGCUGUUCACUUGUUUAAAGCGUAAUGACAAACGUGAAAUCAAGGUGGCUCAGUUGGCAGGCUCUGUUGCUGAACAUUCAUCAUAUCAUCAUGGUGAACAGUCACUCAUGUCCACGAUUGUCAACUUGGCUCAGAAUUUUGUUGGUAGCAACAACAUCAACCUCCUGCAGCCUAUUGGUCAGUUUGGUACCAGACUUGCUGGUGGCAAGGAUUCGGCCAGCCCUAGAUACAUAUUCACUUUACUCAGUCCUCUUACAAGAUUUAUAUUCCAUCCACAUGAUGAUCCACUGUUGAAGCAUCAGUAUGAUGACAAUCAGAAGAUAGAACCUGUCUGGUACAUCCCCAUCAUCCCAAUGAUUUUGGUGAAUGGUGCUGAUGGCAUUGGUACAGGGUGGAUGACCAAGAUUCCCAACUACAAUCCACGAGAGAUUGUUGAAAAUCUGACGAGGAUGCUAGACGAUGAAAAACCCAAACCAAUGGUGCCAUGGUAUAAGAAUUUCACUGGUGUGGUGGAACCUCUUGUUGACAAGAAGUACAUUAUCUAUGGAGAAAUUUCUAUAAUCAAUGAAAGUAAACUGGAGAUAACAGAGUUACCUAUUGGUUCGUGGACACAGACCUACAAAGAAUCUGUGCUGGAACCCAUGCUGCAUGGAGCAAAUGAAAAGACUCCACCUUCCAUAACUGAUUACAAAGAGUAUAACACUGAUACAACAGUGAAAUUUGUUGUAACGAUGAGUGCUGAGAAACUGAGGGUAGCUGAAUCUGAGGGUCUGCAUAAAUUUUUCAAGCUUCAAACAACAGUGUCAUUGUCAUCUAUGUGCGUUUUUGAUGAUAACUGCUGUAUGAGGAAAUUUGAAUCUGUUGAGCCAAUCCUUAAAGAAUUCUUCAAAUUGCGUCUUGCCUAUUAUGGAAAAAGGAAAGACUAUCUCGAAGGAAUGCUGCAGGCGGAAUCACGAAAACUCACCAAUCAAGCAAGGUUUAUUAUUGAGAAGUGUGAUGGCGUACUUAUUGUUGAGAACAAGAAGAAGAAAGUGAUGAUAGAAGAGCUGAAGAGAAUGGGUUAUGAUUCGGAUCCAGUGAAAGCAUGGAAAAUAAGACAGAAUAAAGAUGAAGCUCUAGAAAUUGGAGUGACAGAGCAGAUGGAAAAUGAAGAUGCAGAAAGUUCACAACAAGAAGAAGACACUGAUCUAGCAGGACAGUAUGACUACCUCCUUGGGAUGACGAUGUGGUCAUUGACAAAAGAGAAGAAGGAUGAAUUGUUAAAGAAACGUGAUGAGAAACUUGUUGAACUUAAGACAUUGCAAGCCAAAACUCCUUCAUCGUUGUGGAAGGAAGAUCUGGAAGAAUUCAAUAAAGAGCUUGAUAAAGUUGAGGCAAAGGAGAAAGAAGAUGCUUUAGUGGGAAGCUCUGGAAAGGCAAUGAAACUAAAUAAAAAGUUUGGUGGACCAAAGAAAAGGGAAAUGUUGAAUGCGGCAGAAACAAAACCAUCUCCGCAAGGGCAGCGCGUUGUCCCUAAAAUAGAUCUGAAACUUAAGGAGAAAUUGGAAAAAGAAUCAUUGUCAAAAGAAAACAAAGGAAAAAGGGUAAAGAAAGAAAAGUUGCUCAGUGAAGAAAAGGAUGAGUUUGAUAUGAUGGAAGGAAACCAGAAAACUUUAGCAGAUCGUUUAGGCACAUCACCUGAAGAUAUAGAAAAGAAAUUGAAUGAAAAACGAAAAGAGAUAAAACAAAGGAAGCCUAGGAAAGAGUCAUCUUGUUCACCAAAGAAAAAGGGUAAAGGAAAGAGUCCAUGGGAAACUGACUCAGAAGAGGAAGAAGAAGAAGCGCCGAGUUCUGAUGAUAAUACACCCCGACCAUCACAAAGGACAACAGGUCGGAGAACUGCAGCUGCCAACCUUAAGUUUAAAUAUGACAGUGAAGAGGAUGACGAUGACAAUGACAACUUUGAGCUCCAUGACAACAGUAUGGAGAAUGGAGAUCAUGUGCCUGUCCAUGAUGCAGCUUUGGAUAAUGUUAAAUCUAAGACAAUUGACAUAAGUGACACUGAUAGUGAAUUUGAGAGCAGAAGUAAUCAUAAAAAACGACCUUUGACAGAUUCAGAUGAUGAUUUUACUAGUAGGCGAAAACCUGCUCAAGCCCCGAGAGAAGUAUCGUCAGAUGCAAUGUUUGAUUCACUUAUAAGUGGAAAUGGUAGUGGAAAAGGAUUAGUUAAAACAGAUGCAGCUGUCUUGUCUUCAGAUGAGGAUGUUCCUCCAUCACCUCAGAAGAAGCAGGAAGCCCCCAAAAAGAAGACUCUCUUUAAGUCAAAUAUACAUGAAAACAAGCCUAAGAGGGCCCCUAAAAAGGCAGCACCAAAGAAGAGAAAUGUCUCUGAUUCUGAUGAAGAUAUGUUUGCAGUACCUGCAAAAAAGAAAUCAAGAAAGAAAGCAUCCUCUGAUGAAGAUGAUGACGAUGAUGAUGACGAUGAUGGUUAUGUUCCACCACCGAGAGCUUCUGUUGGUGGACGAGCUCGUAAACCAGUAAAGUACAAUUUUGGUGAUGAUGAUGAGGAUGGUGAUGACGAUGAUUAGAAGAUUCGUACCUAAGCAGCGUAUUUGCAGCACAGGUAUCAGAAACAGAAACUAUAGAAGACUGAAAAAUCUUGCAGAGAAAAGUCACUGAAUGCAACAGAGGAAGAGGAUAAUGAAAGUGAAAUCAGUGAAUAGGACUCUGAAAUUGUAACUUCAGAGCUGCAAAUGAAAGUGUAUUUCUUUUCUGGGAAGACCACUAGACACCCUCUUGUUAUGUCAGAAUUUAUGACUUGUCCAUAUGAAAGAAGUAAUUAGAAUGUGCAUUCUGUGCUGAUAAAAGAAGGUAUGCAAACACAUUUGCAUUCACCAGAUCCCUGAAUUAUAUUUAUUAUCAAUCAAAGCGGAUAUCCACACAGAGAAUGGACGUCUUUUGACAGAAGUUAAUCCAGCUUCAACAACAGAAUGCAUCUACGCAGUAAAUAAUGAGAAAAUGGACAAGGCAACAGAAAUUUUUAUGAAGAAGAUCAAUUCUACAUCCUUUACAGUUUUCUGAAGAUAACUGAUAUGAAGAAAGGAGACUAUUAUAAAAGGUCUAAUCUAAUCUAAUUAUCAUUAAGGAGCCGCAACAAAUAAUACAACCAACUCUUGAAACAUGUAUAUUAAAAUAUAUCUCAGACAAGGGACAUUGUCCAAUCAAUGUAUGAUGUUCGAGGUUUUCACACUUGUGAAAAUGUUUCGGCAGUGGUCUUAUGGGUUAUUGUACCUUGUAGUUGCAGUGUCAUAACCCAGAACACCAUAAUCUGUGAAGUGCGUCUUUUUUGUAUUGUAAGGAACUGGAGAAGAAUUAAAAUGUUUUAGAGUUUUGGAUUAACAAAUGA